Non-coding RNA from Peromyscus maniculatus bairdii (prairie deer mouse), 3664 nucleotides. NCBI's taxonomy places the organism in Eukaryota, Metazoa, Chordata, Mammalia, Rodentia, Cricetidae. The record is from RefSeq and is a predicted model, not a curated record.
GAAAACCGUCCUACGGACAGGAAGAACACUGCCGCGCCCGCCAGCUGGGAGGAAAAUGAGAAGGCAGGGCACACUUCAAACACAAAAGCCUCACGCAUCCCAUCCAGCACCGACUGUGGUGGUUUAAAGACCAAACGUGCCCCACAGGCUCCGGCAUUUGAACACCAGUGGGUUGGCGGAGCCGCUUGGGGAAAUCUAGGGGGCGUGGCCUCGCUGGAGGAAGUACGUCCUUGGAGGUGGGCUUUGAGGUUUCAAAGCCCCUGAGCCACUUCCGGCGCUCCUGCUCUCUUUGCUUCCAUGCUAGCACUUGGGCUGGGAGCUCUGGGCUCCCCGCCGUGCCAGAGUCCAACCCUCUGGAACUGGAAGUCUAAACCAAACUCUUGUCUUCAGGUCUCGGACGGGCACCUCACCUUCCAGUCUUUCGGGCACCACGCAGGUGUCAUCGAAGUAUAGCCUGGGAUCCUUUUCAUACGGAAAUCCUGGAAGAGUCGAAGGAGAAAGACCACACCGCUUAACAGUCUGCGCUGUACUAAGAACUAUGGAGUUAGGACUAAAGGGGCAUUCUUUACCAUAAAUUAACAACAACUUUACUAUUGUGUGUGCAUGAUGCGUGUGGGGCACACACAACACACGUGGAGGUCAGAGGUGGCUCUCUGGGGUCAGUUCCCCUCUCCUACCUUUCACAAGGGCUCUGGGGACCAAACUCAGGUUGUCAGGGUUUCUCGGUAAGCGCUUUUGCCGGUGGAACCCUCUCACUGGCCCAUUACCUUUCUCUGGUUCCUAAGUCCUACUGUCGUACCCACGCCAGACUGAAUCUUCAGAGACUUCCAAAGGACUCAAGCACUCAAGUUGUGAUGUCACUACCUCGGCUGAAUCAAUCCAUGCUAUCAGGGCUCGGGCUGCAGGAAGCGCCGCUGAGUCACGAAGGUUCCCUCAAAUCUUAGGAAGUUUGCAGGGCCAAACUAACCUGUUUAUUCUGGUCGGCCUAAGUAGCUAGCUUUGUUUCAUGUGUAUAAUGAGUUGUCAUUUUCUUUCAGCUAAUAGUAACUCAGCCUUCCCAGCGGACUUGUCCAAGCUAUCCACACACCUCACGUGCUAUAGCCAAGUAUACAGAGAAGGGAAAGAAGAUGCAGGCCCACAGGAGACUGGGAAGAGCGGCACACUGAAACAAGUUGGAGCACUGUCCCCAGACACAGUGCAAGGUUUUAAAGCCUUCCUCCUGGUAGACUUGUCAUAGAAGGGGAGUCAAGAAAUGGGAACCGAAUGGUCUGAAGACAAACAUCAAGGAUGAAAUAGCUGAGGCACAAAGCAGAGAGGACACGGGAAAAGACGGCCAGAUGUUCUCCACAUGCUGGCCUGCGUGCAGUCCUGACCUCAACAAGAUCUGUGGUUCAAACCCAAGGCGGCUAACAACUCCCUGAUGGGGACCCUGUGCUCUGUACCUCACAGGUAUUACACCUGGUACACAGUCCUUCAUCCCCUGGCUCUUCUCUGGCUUUGUUCCUGGUUGAUUCACCUGGCUGAAGACUACUAGUCUAUGUGUGCUAGAUCUGCAGAGGGGACAGACAGGGAACUCUCUGCGACAUGAAAACCCCACAGGUCAAGGAGCCCGGAUGUGAUCCCUCCCCUGAUAUCCCUGGCUUCUUUGUAAUCAGUUCAGGUGAAGGACUGUCUUGGCAGGCCUGGCACCCUCUUAAGAUGCCAGGGCCUAGGAAAAAAAAAAACAUGGUGCAACAUGUGUUUGAUGUUUAGGUCAUUCACCUUUCUGUUUUUAGCCUCAGGCAUGAUUUUUUUUCUGUUAUUUAAAUCAACAACAUCAUAUAUGGAGAAAUAGCUCAGUGGUUAAGAGCACUGACUGCCAUUCUAGAGGACCCGGGUUUGAUUCCUAGCACCGACAUGGCGGCUCACAACUGUCUGUAACUCUAGUUCCAGAGGAAUCCACUGACAUCUUCUGGCUCUCCUUUCACUGAAUGCACAUGGUGUGUAGCCAUACAUGCAGGCAAAACACCCAUAUACACAAUUUAAGAAAUAAGUAUAUUUUAUUGGCUUUUUUUUCCCUGAUUGAUUCAAUUAAAAUUCUAGGCCACAUAUUUUGCUCAUGUGGGUAGGAGGUAAGAACGCAGCCAUGGACUUUGUUCUUAUGUGUUUACAUCUCAACUUGAAGCAGGAAGCAGAUGGUAAAAGAACAGGCAAUAAAUGAUUAGUAUAGCACUGGAAUUAAAAAAUGCGGGCUCUAGAAUGAGACAGGUUGACCCCAAUUAGCUGUGUGACUCUGAAUACAUGAGUUCCACUGUGUUCAAGUUUCCUCGCUGGUACUGCUAUGAGGAUUGAAUAGUUAAUGUGCUGUCUGUUCUACCAGCCACCGCUCUGUCUUUACAACAGAGUAAGUAUUGUGACAAGCACUGUUAAGAAACUGUAUGAUGCUGUGUCAGGUGUGGUGGCUCAUGCCUUCCACCCCAGCACUCUGAAGGCAGAGGCAGGUGAAUUCCUUUGAGUUCCAGGCAGCCUGGACUACAGAGGGGUAACAGUGAGACUCUGCCUCAAAAACAAACAAGCAUACAAACAACAACCAACCCUGAAUGACAGUACGAGAACUGUCAGCUCGCCACCCCCUGCAUGGAGCCCGAUAUUCUCAGGGAUAAGGGUCCUGUCCUAUGCAUCUUAGUGUUCUCACAGCGCCUUGCCUACAGUUAAGUGUUCCAUCAAUUUUGAAGUACAAGAUCUCCUGACAAUUUAGGCAAAGAAUGUUGACAUACUUUCCUUUAAGGCAUGGUCUCACGUAGCAAAGGUCUACUCUGAACUUGCCAUGUAGCCGAGGAUGCCCUCAGACUCCCGAUCUUCCUGGAACCCUCACCUCCCAAGUGCCUAACACCUGGCAAACUGACUUUUAUGACAAGCUGCUGUACUUCACAUUAUCAGCAAGACGUAAUUCCUCAUGCGUCAUGCUUUUUCCCCUUUAGCUGCCAGGAGGUGAUAUAUUUCCCACCUUCCCUAUGUGUUUUGAUAUUCCAGUGCUGUUUAAAUGGUCUCGUUAUAAAAUCAUUGUAAGCAAACCGCUUGAAAGUUUACACAUCUGUCAAACGUGCCGCGCUGUCCUCUAAGGGAAAAGAUCACUCAUCCACAACCCCGCAAGAAUAAAUUCUUGUUUUGGUUUUCAAAAGCUAAUAAGGAACAUCAUUUGGGAACAUUUUGUGGUUUCCAGUUGUUGCCACACAAGGCACUCUAAGACACCUGGAAGAUGUUUCUGGUUUGAGUGAUAAAGCCAGUUGAGUUUGCAUCUGCAGUUCCUUCAGUUGUGGCCAGAACCACUCAAAUAAAGGCACCGGAAGGAAGAACCUGCUUGACAGGCAGUGGAAAUGAAAGGCUCAAAAUAUCACAUGAGGAUUCCAGACAUCAACUGCCUCUGUAGAAACAUCGAGGAGUCUGGAAGCAGCCCUGCACAGCUGUGUCUGCACAGCCAGCAGUGGUCCAGUAGACAGACAGCCGGCCUGCUCAAGUCUGGACAUUCACUGAGAUUAUCACAGGGUGCACAGCAGGAGAGUAGCACUGGUCUUGCCUAGCCAAGGGGGGAGCCAUCUAGCCAAGAAACCACUCUAGCCAACUAGUCACUUGCUUUUGUUUGUUUUUCCAGGCAGGAUUUCUCUGUGUAGCCCUGGCUGUCCUG